CAACGUAACGUAUAUUUCUUAUUACAUUAUCAUAUACACAUGACAUAUGGGCCUAAUAGGCCAAUAUGAUCCUUUAUAAACUUAAAAUAUAGGCCGAUAAGUCCGUACAAUCUUUUAUAUAUAUGACAUAUGUCUACAAGCCUCUAAGAGUACAUAAAUGUCAUAAAGGUUGAGACAGAGUCCCGCCUUACCAAAUAAUACACAUCUAAAUCAUACUAACUAAACGAGCAACUCUGAAUCAAAUGGAGCACACCAACAUCUUCCACUGAGCUGAUAGCCUACUUGGAGCGCUCUCGACCUGUCUAUCGGGACCUGCGGGCAUGAAACGCAGUGUCCCCAAGCAAAAGGGACGUCAGUACGAAUAAUGUACCGAGUAUGUAAGGCACAUAAAUAAAUACAUAAGAGACAUGGAAGACAUAUAGAGUACAUAACUCAACUUGUAAGUUUGAACAACUUUGUAAAUCAUAAAUUACUUUUAAUGUCAUGCAUAUGUGUAUGAAUGUCAUGUCGUGCAUAGGUACAUGUUUCAUAACACCAUCAGCCUCUGAGGGCAUCCCAUCAUAUCAUAUCGGCCAUUGUGGGCAAAAUCAUCAUCGUAUACCAGCUGAUCAGGUGGUGGUGCGUAUAUAACGCCAUAACCUUUCUCAUAUCCCAUAUACAUAUAUAUACAUACAUACAUAUAUACGCGUAUAUAAUGCCAUUUGAAUCAUAUUUAUAUAUAUACGUGUAUAUAACACCGUUUGAAUCAUUUUUCAGCCAUUGUGGGCAACAUCAUCAUCAUAUACCAACUGAUCAGGUGGUGGUGCAUAUAUAACGACGUAACCUUUUCCCAUAUCUCAUAUACAUAUAUAUACAUAUAUACGCGUAUAUAACGCUAUCUGGUCAUGGGUCAAUGCACAUGAACGUAAUGCAUGAAAAGUACGUUAAUAAAAUCUUUCGGAAAUUCAUAAGACCAUUUUGUCUUGAGCAAUAUCAUAAAGUAAACUUUUUUUUCAACUUUCAUAUUUUUCUGAGACCCAUGGACAGAUGAUAAAAUAUUAUGACACAUGGAAAUUCAGGAACAUAGAUAUCUCUAAUACUUCUAUGAAUAGAGUCAUUUAUGAAAUUUGUGCAUUUGCACGUUUCGUUUAUAUCGUAUGGAUCAUGCCAAAAAAAAGAAGGGAUAGCCUUAACAUACCUGGAGCGGGAAAAACUCCAUAUAAUAUUCUUGGAGAAGAUUGCACCGUACCCCUUUUGAAACGCAAAAUUUUACGUUGCUACGAUUCUAAUCAAUUCUUGUUAACUGAUUGCAAGAACUUCCUUGGAGAGUUUUGAAAACUUGGCGUCCUUGCUUGGAGUAUUGAACUUAUCAAGAAAGACUUAAAAUUGCAUUCUUCUUCUGUCUACAUGAACUAAGGAUAAAGACCAAGCUUUU
This 1414-nucleotide long non-coding RNA is filed under the name Nicotiana tabacum (common tobacco). RNAcentral describes it as "long non-coding RNA (NTAB_LNC017732)". Lineage: Eukaryota; Viridiplantae; Streptophyta; Magnoliopsida; Solanales; Solanaceae. The record is from RNAcentral.